AGGUCCCCAAAUAUUUGUCACAGCAGUGGAAUAAAGCUUCAGGAAGAGGUGAAGUGGGGAAACUAAGGAUUGCCAAAAAUCAAGGAAGAACAGAAGUAAGUAAUUGCUAAAUACGAAGGUGGUGGAUAUAUUGUAUUUUGAAUUCUGAAAUUGCUUAGAACA
Non-coding RNA from Tinamus guttatus (white-throated tinamou), 162 nucleotides. NCBI's taxonomy places the organism in Eukaryota, Metazoa, Chordata, Aves, Tinamiformes, Tinamidae. The record is from RefSeq and is a predicted model, not a curated record.